CCAAUAGCGUAUAUUAAAGUUGUUGCAGUUAAAAAGCUCGUAGUUGAAUUUCGGGAUUGGCGCAUCGGUCGUGCCUUACGGGGUAUGAACUGGUGCAGUCAAUUUCUCACCUUCUGGAGAACCGCGAUGUCCUUAAUUGGGUGCCGCGGGGAACCAGGACCUUUACUUUGAAAAAAUUAGAGUGUUUAAAGCAGACAUUUUUGCUUGAAUACAUUAGCAUGGAAUAAUAAAAUAGGACGGCAUGGUUCUAUUUUGUUGGUUUCUAGGACCACCGUAAUGAUUAAUAGGGAUAGUUGGGGGCAUUAGUAUUCAAUUGUCAGAGGUGAAAUUCUUGGAUUUAUUGAAGACUAACUACUGCGAAAGCAUUUGCCAAGGAUGUUUUCAUUAAUCAAGAACGAAAGUUAGGGGAUCGAAGACGAUCAGAUACCGUCGUAGUCUUAACCAUAAACUAUGCCGACUAGGAAUCAGACGAUGUUAAUUUUUUAAUGACUCGUUUGGCACCUUACG
Molecule: unclassified non-coding RNA, 507 nt
Filed under: uncultured Entrophospora
Lineage: Eukaryota; Fungi; Glomeromycota; Glomeromycetes; Entrophosporales; Entrophosporaceae
Description: SSU rRNA
Rfam family: Eukaryotic small subunit ribosomal RNA
Source: RNAcentral